GCCCGGUUAGCUCAAUCGGUAGAGCGUGAGACUCUUAAGAAGAGUAUCAUCUCAAGGUUGCGGGUUCGACCCCCGCAUCGGGCU
Rhizodiscina lignyota is the source of this 84-nucleotide non-coding RNA. Lineage: Eukaryota; Fungi; Ascomycota; Dothideomycetes; Aulographales; Rhizodiscinaceae. The record is from the annotation of a GenBank genome assembly.